Molecule: unclassified non-coding RNA, 365 nt
Filed under: Hevea brasiliensis (rubber tree)
Lineage: Eukaryota; Viridiplantae; Streptophyta; Magnoliopsida; Malpighiales; Euphorbiaceae
Source: RNAcentral
CUGUUGCCUUCUCGGAGUUCUCUCUUCCGCACCUCUCUGCGAGCAAAAAUAAGAGCAAUCCCUAAUUUACUAAUUUUAAAAGGAAAACCUACCAUGGACGGUGUAGCGCAACCUUCGACAUCGACGAAUGCAGCGUUCUCUUUCAUAUCUAAAGGAUGGCGGGAGGUCCGUGACUCUGCUGAUGCGGAUCUCCAACUCAUGCGGGCCCGAGCCAACUCGUUCAAGAACCUCGCCAAUUCCUUCGAUCGAGAGCUCGAGAAUUUCUUCAAUUCCGCUUCUACUUCCUUUUCAGUACACUCCUUCAGGUCUUCUACGUCGACGAAAUCGGAUUUCGUUAAGAAAUUGCAGCCUAAGAUUUCGGAGUU